UUUAAAUGUACCCUGUAGAGUUUUUGACCUCUACUAGCGCUAGUGUUGUUUUGUUUGAAUUGUGCAUGCACACAAGGACGCAAGCAACACAAUACACACUGCUGCCACCGGAACCACACUACAGACUCGGUAGACUCUAUUUAUAAAACAACUUGAGAAUCGCUGUCUCAGAUGCCCAUCUGCCUUUGAAGAAUAUGGAUUAGAGAGCUGGACGGACAGAUGCUAAAAGGAAUCAGCGUCUUGUAUGAAGCAGGGCUAAUCUUCCCUUUGAUAUUGACAACAUCAAAUAGAAAAGUACUUGAACCUAAAAUGCUAUACACUGAAAUGGCUCUUCCUCACAGGGGAAAACAGACAACGCAAUCAAGCUGACAAUACAGAUCUCUGUUUUCGAGAUCAAAAUCAAACUGUGAAUAAACAUGCCUGAUGACCUUU
Micropterus dolomieu (smallmouth bass) is the source of this 432-nucleotide long non-coding RNA. RefSeq lists it as uncharacterized. NCBI's taxonomy places the organism in Eukaryota, Metazoa, Chordata, Actinopteri, Centrarchiformes, Centrarchidae. The transcript has 2 exons. The record is from RefSeq and is a predicted model, not a curated record.